CUUACACAUGCAAGUCGAACGCGAACGUUUCCUUCGGGAAACUAGUAGAGUGGCGCACGGGUGAGUAACGCGUAAGUAAUCUACCCUCGCAUCUGGGAUAACCCACCGAAAGGUGUGCUAAUACCUGAUACGUCUGGAAUUAUACUUUGAAUCUAGAGAAAGGUGGCCUCUUCAUGAAAGCUACUGUGCGGGGAGGAGCUUGCGUACCAUUAGCUAGUUGGUAGGGUAACGGCCUACCAAGGCGAUGAUGGUUAGCGGGUCUGAGAGGAUGAUCCGCCACACUGGAACUGGAACACGGACCAGACUCCUACGGGAGGCAGCAGUGAGGAAUAUUGCGCAAUGGGGGCAACCCUGACGCAGCGACGCCGCGUGGAUGAUGAAGGCCUUCGGGUUGUAAAAUCCUGUCAGAUGGGAAGAAGUGCUAUAGUGUUAAUAUCAUUAUAGUUUGACGGUACCAUCAAAGGAAGCACCGGCUAACUCCGUGCCAGCAGCCGCGGUAAUACGGAGGGUGCAAGCGUUGUUCGGAAUUACUGGGCGUAAAGCGCGCGUAGGCGGCUAUUCAAGUCAGAUGUGAAAGCCCGCGGCUCAACCGUGGAAGUGCAUUUGAAACUGUGUAGCUUGAGUACUGGAGGGGGUAGUGGAAUUCCCGGUGUAGAGGUGAAAUUCGUAGAUAUCGGGAGGAAUACCGGUGGCGAAAGCGACUACCUGGCCAGAUACUGACGCUGAGGUGCGAAAGCGUGGGGAGCAAACAGGAUUAGAUACCCUGUAGUCCACGCCGUAAACGAUGUCAACUAGUGUUGGGAUGGUUAAUCGUCUCAUUGCCGAGCUAACGCAUUAAGUUGACCGCCUGGGGAGUACGGUCGCAGAUUAAACUCAAGGAAUUGAC
This 886-nucleotide ribosomal RNA is filed under the name uncultured Desulfobulbaceae bacterium. RNAcentral describes it as "bacterial SSU rRNA". It matches the Rfam family "Bacterial small subunit ribosomal RNA", at positions 48 to 914 of the family's 1533-position model. Lineage: Bacteria; Pseudomonadati; Thermodesulfobacteriota; Desulfobulbia; Desulfobulbales; Desulfobulbaceae. The record is from RNAcentral.